Molecule: long non-coding RNA, 384 nt
Organism: Thrips palmi
Lineage: Eukaryota; Metazoa; Arthropoda; Insecta; Thysanoptera; Thripidae
Exons: 2
Source: RefSeq, a predicted model, not a curated record
GAGCAUACUUGACAGUUUCAAGAGCAGCGACAAUACGUUGGUUGUUGGUAAUUUUGCCUUCCUUCAAAGGAACAUUGAAGUCAACACUGAAAAGACAGAAACACUUUGUAGCAUUACAAGGGCAUUGUUACAUCAUGUCCUGCCAAAAAUAAAGGAAGAUUGUGACCAAGUUCUGGCCGACGAAUUAAGUUUUUGACGAGGACGGUGCAAGGGGUGUUAAAAUCCACCAAAUUUAGCUGUCACCUACCGGAUGAGCACUCGCUUGCCAGCCAAGCUCAGGGCAUCAAUGCUCAGUUUGUUCAACGCCAUUUCGCAAGUUUUAAUUCAAGCGAAGUUGGAAUUCAAAUGGAGCUGUCUCGUCAAGCACACUGCUGCAGACGGAAA